Molecule: long non-coding RNA, 1492 nt
Organism: Pomacea canaliculata
Lineage: Eukaryota; Metazoa; Mollusca; Gastropoda; Architaenioglossa; Ampullariidae
Exons: 6
Source: RefSeq, a predicted model, not a curated record
CGCAGUCUAAUCACGUGACCUACGUUCGUCCCGACGACAUGACCGUUCGAGUUCGUCAAAUCAAACGAAGUGGUGAGGAAAGUGCUAUAACGGAUCAUCUGAUGACAUGUCUGCCGUGAUAUUUUAACACUCAUCUUCUUCAUCUGUGAUAUACUGUUGAUGUCAAGGUGUUAUCAGCACAAUAUGAUGGUGUGAUGUGCUGUGUGUUGAGAGGAAGACAGUGGGUCAGGAUUCAAGAACAUUAAACAUGGCGAGCAGCUGCGAAAGCGGGGUAGCGGGCCUUGUGUAUGAUUACAGUUCCGCAUUUUCACAAUUAGCAUGUGAGAACUUCAUCAUCAUUGUGUAUGAUAAGCCAAGAGUCAGUGUGGACACCACCCGGAUAAAAACAUGGUGCAUGGAUUAAAGUUUAUGUCAGGUGACCUGUCACGGAGAAAGCUUUACUCCUAUGUGAGUCUCAAGUCGUCUGCUGCGUUGGGACAGGAAGUGAGUCGAUAAAAGUUGUCAUGCGGUGGAAGGACAAAAAAAAAAAAAAAUCGCGUGGGAUGUGUCCUUAAUGAUUUCUUUUGCACCAUUUAUUCGAUCGGUUAUGGAGCUUUCUGAAAUACUUUUGGGGUUUGUACCUUCUUGCUUAGGAGUAAUCACACAUGUUAUUUGUGUGAAGACUUUGGUGAUAAACUCUACACAUUCUUGGAUCUUGUGCAUGGACAGACGGAGGAGGAAGAGGAUGAGGAGUCAUUUGCUUAUUUGCAUUUAUUUACCAUGCGUUAGAUACGACAGACGAUAGUUGUGUUCAGCAAGCACAAAAGAGAGGCGAAGGAGCACUACCGGAGGAGGAGGAGGAGGAGGAGGAGGGCACACCGCGGCAAGCACUGAAACACCUCCCAAUCCACCCUCCGUACAUCUGACCAACCAGCGCUGCUCCCUGUGAUGAUGACUGACAGGUGGACUCCGCCUACCCUUCCCUCAUCCGUCUCACCAUCCGCCGUCUCGCGCUGAGUGUUUGGAGUCCCUACAACAUCACCGAUAGAAGGCCUUAUGAUGCAGGUGCAAAAGUCCAGCCAGGUGUCUUCACCCAAUAAGUGGCUCAUAAGACAACACGAAAGCUAUUGGUGACUGCUUGUGGAAAGACAGCGAACUUCUGGCCUUGGCAGAAUCAGAAACAAAAUAGAAUAACAGAAUGAAAAAGUUGUCUACUUGUCUGGCAUAACAACAACGUCUACAAGUUUCCAGCUGAUUGUUAUGAAGAACUGAAUUCAACUGAGUGUAUUUAUGGUUUUUGGAAGAUGAAGGUCAAGCAAGACAGAAGAAGUCAAGAAGUGCUAACGACUGUGAAAAAAGUUGUCGACUCUGAAACAUAUUAGGACUGAUAAGAUCUCGGAUUCUGUCUUGUUUAAAAAUAUAUAAUUUCUGUGCCCAUCAUAUACGGAAUCCGGUUUUAAACUCACUUCACUAUAAGUCAAACUCAAAAAUAUUAAAAAUAUAUUUUAACAAA